AACGAACGCUGGCGGCAGGCUUAACACAUGCAAGUCGAACGGGUGCAGCAAUGCAUCAGUGGCAGACGGGUGAGUAACACGUGGGAACCUUCCUAGGGGUACGGAACAACUCAGGGAAACUUGAGCUAAUACCGUAUACGUCCGUGAGGAGAAAGAUUCAUCGCCCCUAGACGGGCCCGCGUCGGAUUAGGUAGUUGGUGGGGUAACGGCCUACCAAGCCUACGAUCCGUAGCUGANCUGAGAGGAUGAUCAGCCACACUGGGACUGAGACACGGCCCAGACUCCUACGGGAGGCAGCAGUGGGGAAUCUUGGACAAUGGCGCAAGCCUGAUCCAGCCAUGCCGCGUGAGUGAAGAAGGCCUC
This 363-nucleotide ribosomal RNA is filed under the name uncultured bacterium. RNAcentral describes it as "bacterial SSU rRNA". It matches the Rfam family "Bacterial small subunit ribosomal RNA", at positions 29 to 418 of the family's 1533-position model. The record is from RNAcentral.